Molecule: ribosomal RNA, 87 nt
Filed under: Sinocyclocheilus anshuiensis
Lineage: Eukaryota; Metazoa; Chordata; Actinopteri; Cypriniformes; Cyprinidae
Source: RNAcentral
GCUUACGGCCAUACCACCCUCUCUGCACCCGAUGUCAUCUGAUCUCGGAAGCUAAGCAGGGUUGGGCCUGUUUAGUACUUGGAAGGG